This 301-nucleotide ribosomal RNA is filed under the name uncultured bacterium. Its description in RNAcentral is "partial 16S ribosomal RNA". It matches the Rfam family "Bacterial small subunit ribosomal RNA", at positions 509 to 807 of the family's 1533-position model. The record is from RNAcentral.
CAGUCGCCACGGUAAUACAGAGGAUGCAAGCGUUAUCCGGAAUGAUUGGGCGUAAAGCGUCUGUAGGUGGCUUUUCAAGUCCGCCGUCAAAUCCCAGGGCUCAACCCUGGACAGGCGGUGGAAACUACCAAGCUGGAGUACGGUAGGGGCAGAGGGAAUUUCCAGUGGAGCGGUGAGAUGCGUUGAGAUCGAAAAGAACACCAACAGCGAAAGCACUCUGCUGGGACGACACUGACACUAAGAGACGAAAGCUAGGGGAGCAAAUGGGAUUAGAUGCCCCGGUAGUCCCUGUCUCUUAUAC